CUUGCACGUUUCCAAAAGAUUCAGUCAGAGAAUCUUUGCCUUGGACGGAUACUCCAUAGGAGAAAACAGGAGAAAGUUGACACUUAACUCCCACAGAGUACCAGCAUAAAGACAAUGGCUUUAAGAGUCUGACUCAGAGUUUCAACAUGAAAGGUUUGCUUUAUAGAGGAAACGCCAAUCCCAGUCCAUCCAGAUAGACCUGGAACCUGAUGAAAGUCGACACCUUUAUUCUGAAAUUUGCAUCACAUCGCUGGCUCCAGUUUAGAAACAUGAUCGUUUCACAGGUAGUAUGCAUUUCAGCGAAUGCUGCCUCUAAACUACCCGUCAGGAAAAAUAAAAUCUAUAAGGUAAUCGUAGUCUAGGAGCCAUCAAUCCCCAAAUGCUUCUCUUAGAAAACGAAUGCCAACAAUUUAGCUAAACAUCUUCCUUGGAAGUGAGCCAUUUCCCAUGUCUCUCUGUUCUCCAAACCGCGAUGAAAUUUCAACCUGCCCAACACGAUUACUGGUCCACCUAGAAAUGCCGUGGAGCGAUUUAAGAGCCUCGGAAAUUUCCUUUAAGGUCAGGAGAGAAGCUGGUAACAGAUGGGGCGAAGGAGGAAAAGUUCUUUUUGCGGCACCCUCACGCCUUCCCAGCCCUUUCGCGGUUUACUCGCUCCCCGGAAAGCAGGGCAUUCAAGCAGCCCUGAGGAGAGGUCCACAUGGUGAGCCACUGAGGGCCUUGCCAAGAGCCAGCACCAACGGUCCAGGUUUGGAGUGUACCACCUUGGAAGUGAAUCUUCCAGUCCAGUCAAGCCUUCAGAUGACUUCAGAACCGUCCAUGUAAGCCACUCUUGGAUUCCUGACCCACAGAAACUGUUGGAGGCAUUAUCAACAGUUUCUAACAUCACAGACAGACAAACAUGUGCCUCCUGAUUGAAAAAACAGAACAUCACCUGUAGUCUUGCCAGUGAGAUCAAACUGAAGUCCAAUUAACCUCUGGAUCCAGCUGCCAAUUUGCAGGAAAUAGAGGAGAGAAGCAUCUGUUGAACUGCACCAUGAGUAUACACUCAGCAAAGGCCAAACUGUGGAAAAUGAUACAGGUCAAACAGCCUGGAUUCUUUAACAGACGGAGUCUCACUCUGUCACCCAGCCUGAAGUGCAAUGG
Molecule: long non-coding RNA, 1143 nt
Filed under: Homo sapiens (human)
Lineage: Eukaryota; Metazoa; Chordata; Mammalia; Primates; Hominidae
Description: HSALNT0377869
Source: RNAcentral